CUCCUCUUUCUUUCUCUGUCUAGGGUUUCAAAAGCGCCGCUUUUCGCUGAUCGGAGUGUGUUUGAUAACUUAAUCAUCAGCCUGAAGAAGAUGAAUCUGACAAGUCAAAGUCAGAAGUUCAUGAUGAUGAUGAUGACAGUGGAGAGAGGGUGGUAAUGCCAUCAACAAAAAAACCUGAGCAAAUGUAUGUUAUUAUUACCUGAAGAUCAUUGCAGAGGGUGGUAAUGCCAUCAGCCAUAAUCAGCCCAGAUUCUUACGGAUUUGGACAUCUUCUCUGUCAUCGGAGCGAAUAAACCACCGUAGUUAGUUGACUCGAGAGUCAAAGUCAAGAUGGAAGAUGCGAUUGUAAUUAGGUUCGAAGCGAUAACCGGUAGCCCUUUGGUCAGCG
This is a long non-coding RNA of Helianthus annuus (common sunflower), 388 nucleotides long. RefSeq lists it as uncharacterized. The record is from RefSeq and is a predicted model, not a curated record. The transcript has 4 exons. Lineage: Eukaryota; Viridiplantae; Streptophyta; Magnoliopsida; Asterales; Asteraceae.